AUUCCCGGCUGACGCUGCCUGCAGCCUCUCUCCACGGUGACCUCGAGAGCAGAAAAGAGGCAGCCAGUCGUGCACCUGGGAAGCUGCUGCCCCCCAGCCACUUCCCAGGUCUCAGAGGAGACCCCCACCAGCCUGGGCCUCAGCCCCUCCUGUUCCUCACAGGGGCUACCAGCCAACACCAGCCAUGGCCAAGUACGUCAAGAUCCUGUACGACUUCACAGCCCGAAAUGCCAACGAGCUAUCGGUGCUCAAGGAUGAGGUCCUAGAGGUGCUGGAGGACGGCCGGCAGUGGUGGAAGCUGCGCAGCCGCAGCGGCCAGGCUGGGUACGUGCCCUGUAACAUCCUAGGCGAGGCGCGGCCCGAGGACGCCGGCGCCCCCUUCGAGCAGGCCGGUCAGAAGUACUGGGGCCCCGCCAGCCCGACCCACAAGCUGCCCCCAAGCUUCCCGGGGAACAAAGACGAGCUCAUGCAGCACAUGGACGAGGUCAACGACGAGCUCAUCCGGAAAAUCAGCAACAUCAGGGCGCAGCCACAGAGGCACUUCCGCGUGGAGCGCAGCCAGCCCGUGAGCCAGCCGCUCACCUACGAGUCGGGCCCGGACGAGGUCCGCGCCUGGCUGGAAGCCAAGGCCUUCAGCCCGCGGAUCGUGGAGAACCUGGGCAUCCUCACCGGGCCGCAGCUCUUCUCCCUCAACAAGGAGGAGCUGAAGAAGGUGUGCGGCGAGGAGGGCGUCCGCGUGUACAGCCAGCUCACCGUGCAGAAGGCCUUCCUGGAGAAGCAGCAAAGUGGGUCGGAGCUGGAAGAACUCAUGAACAAGUUUCAUUCCAUGAAUCAGAGGAGGGGGGAGGACAGCUAGGCCCAGCUGCCUUGGGCGGGGGCCUGCGGAGGGGAAGCCCACCCGCAAUGCAUGGAGUAUUAUUUUUAUAUGUGUAUGUAUUUUGUACCAAGGACACGGAGGGGGUGCGGUGCUGGCUAGGGGUCCCUGCCCCUGUCUGGAGGCACAAGGCCCAUCCUUAGGCCCAGCAGUACCCAAGGCCCAGCCCACACCAAGACCAAUCUCAGCCAAACCUGCUGCCUGGUGGUACCAGCCCCUUGUCCACCUUCUUCUGAAGCCACAGAACUCCCUGGGGCUGGGGCCUCUUUCUCUGUCUUCCCCUGUGCACCUGGGGGGUCCUGGCCCCUGUGAUGCUCCCCUAUCCCCACCCACUUCUACAUCCAUCCACACCCCAGGGUGGGCUGGAGCUCCAGGCUGGCGGGGCUGAUCCCCGCACAUACGCAGGGUUCUGCUCCCUGAGGGGGGCCUGGGAGGGGCUCCAGCAGGAGGCCAUGGCUGCCAUUCAGGGGAAAGUUGGGGGACGACACACACUUGACCUGCAAGGGCCAACGACGCAGGGGACACCGUGCCGGCUUCAGACACUCCCAGAGCCCACCCUCACAGGCACAGGACUGGAGCUUUCUCCAGCCAAGUUUCAGGCCACUGAUCCUCGCAUGGUGUUGGGGGUGCUGGUGUGUUUUGGUGCCUGGACUUGGGUCUCACCCUACAGAUAAGAGGUGGCUGAGGCAUCAGGGCUAAGCAAUUAAACCAGUUAAGUCUCC
Molecule: small RNA, 1596 nt
Filed under: Pongo abelii (Sumatran orangutan)
Lineage: Eukaryota; Metazoa; Chordata; Mammalia; Primates; Hominidae
Description: retained intron
Source: RNAcentral